RNAcentral lists this transfer RNA (73 nucleotides) under Schistosoma margrebowiei. It matches the Rfam family "tRNA". Rfam says of the family: Transfer RNA (tRNA) molecules are approximately 80 nucleotides in length. Their secondary structure includes four short double-helical elements and three loops (D, anti-codon, and T loops). Lineage: Eukaryota; Metazoa; Platyhelminthes; Trematoda; Strigeidida; Schistosomatidae. The record is from Rfam by way of RNAcentral.
GCUCGGUUAGCUCAGUCUGUAGAGCAUCAGACUUUCAAUCUGGGUGUCGGGGGUUGGAGCCCCAUAUCGGGCG